RNAcentral lists this ribosomal RNA (301 nucleotides) under uncultured bacterium. Its description in RNAcentral is "partial 16S ribosomal RNA". It matches the Rfam family "Bacterial small subunit ribosomal RNA", at positions 509 to 807 of the family's 1533-position model. The record is from RNAcentral.
CAGUCGCCACGGUAAUACAGAGGGUGCGAGCGUUAAUCGGAUCUACUGGGCGUAAAGCGUGCGUAGGCGGCUUUUUAAGUCGGAUGUGAAAUCCCUGAGCUUAACUUAGGAAUUGCAUUCGAUACUGGGAAGCUAGAGUAUGGGAGAGGAUGGUAGAAUUCCAGGUGUAGCGGUGAAAUGCGUAGAGAUCUGGAGGAAUACCGAUGGCGAAGGCAGCCAUCUGGCCUAAUACUGACGCUGAGGUACGAAAGCAUGGGGAGCAAACAGGAUUAGAUACCCCCGUAGUCCCUGUCUCUUAUAC